RNAcentral lists this ribosomal RNA (494 nucleotides) under uncultured bacterium. RNAcentral's name for it is "partial 16S ribosomal RNA". It matches the Rfam family "Bacterial small subunit ribosomal RNA", at positions 28 to 507 of the family's 1533-position model. The record is from RNAcentral.
GACGAACGCUGGCGGCGUGCUUAACACAUGCAAGUCGAACGGUGAAGCGCCUUCCUUUUUGGUGGGUGUGGAUGAGUGGCGAACGGGUGAGUAACACGUGAGUAACCUGCCCCCUUCUUCUGGAUAACCGCAUGAAAGUGUUGCUAAUACGGGAUAUUCUGGGUCUGUCGCAUGAUGGGUCUGGGAAAGAUUUUGUUUCGGUGGGGGAUGGGCUCGCGGCCUAUCAGCUUGUUGGUGGGGUGAUGGCCUACCAAGGCGGUGACGGGUAGCCGGCCUGAGAGGGUGGACGGCCACACUGGGACGGAGACACGGCCCAGACUCCGACGGGAGGCAGCAGGGGGGAAUAUUGCACAAUGGGCGGAAGCCUGAUGCAGCGACGCCGCGGGAGGGAUGGAGGCCUGCGGGUUGUGAACCUCUUUCGCCAGUGAAGCAGGCCUGCCUCGUUUGUGGGUGGGUUGACGGUAGCUGGAGAAGAAGCGCCGGCUAACUACGUG